AUGUGGGGGUGCCUCUCUGUAUCUGAGAGCUGACCCCGAACACCCCAUGCUGGCAUGGCACUGCCAGUGCAGCCACUUGGCAGCAGUUGUUGAGGUUGGAGGUACAGGGCUGAAGAGAAGGGCUGCCCUUUGCCAGCUUCUGCUGAUCGUCCUGGUGCUCAGGGAACUCCAGAUUUCAUUUUGAGUAACUGGUCCCAUCCUAGUUUUCAAGGACCUAGCUUUCAUUCUUGCACAGCAUUGUCUCUGUAGCCUAUACUUGAAUGGGGAGGAGCCUUAAACAGCGUCUUUGUGGCAGUUCUGGCUGGCCUCAUGAAGGCUUCUGUUAAGUGGUUGUUGCUUUCCCCCUUUGCUGUAGCCUGGGAAACGCUGCAGCAUUUGAUUGCGUGACCCAACGCAGCCAGAACAAACAUCCCCAAAACCACGCUGCAGGUGCUGAGAGCUGCUGUUCUGCACUGCCUCAACCCUACGCUCAGGGAUGGGACCCACCAGUAUUUGCACUGGAGUUAUGCAAGGAAGCAAGGAAUCCCCUCUGCCCUACCAUCUCUACUGUAAGUAGAUGGGGUAUUCAGAGAUCCUGUUCUUGGGAGCAUUGGGACAGCUGGAUCCUUGUUCAGUUCUCACUGCUCUUGAGAAUGGAGCAAAGGAUCAUCUGCUGGGGCCUCCGAACAUUGCAGAUGUCCCUCUCAGCCCCUGUUUGUGUAUAAUCCUGCUGCGUGAAAGUCCUGUGUCCUAGACUGUAAAGGUUUUACAGAUGCAUAAUGUCUUGGGGAUUCAGAAGAACUUUAAAUUUGUCACUUACCUAAAGUGUCUUAGUCAAAUUCUUUCAUCAGAUAUAGCUGUGGACUGUAUAUAUUUUGGUCCUCGUACCAAGCACCCUUAGGACCUUUGCAUUGUCUCGCUGCCAUCUACCAGCUUUCCAGCAUUCACCUGCCAAAAAUUUAGCUUCCCUCUUGUUUGUGGUAGUCU
RNAcentral lists this long non-coding RNA (966 nucleotides) under Chrysolophus pictus (golden pheasant). Its description in RNAcentral is "lncRNA (ENSCPIG00010004503.1)". Lineage: Eukaryota; Metazoa; Chordata; Aves; Galliformes; Phasianidae. The record is from RNAcentral.